AACGAACGCUGGCGGCGUGGAUAAGACAUGCAGUUGAACGGUUGAUUCAAGGUAGCAAUAUUUGUGGGUUAGCAGUGGCGUAAGGGUGCUUAACACGUGGGUAAUCUGCCGCGAAGUGUGGGAUAACUCGCUGAAAGGCGAGCUAAUACCGCAUGUGAUUUUCUUGAGGCAUCUCAGGGAAUUCAAACAUGGGUCGCAAGACCUGUGGUUUCGCGAUGAGCCCGCGGCCUAUCAGCUAGUUGGCGGGGUAAAAGCCCACCAAGGCUAAGACGGGUAGCUGGUCUGAGAGGACGACCAGCCACACUGGAACUGAGACACGGUCCAGACACCUACGGGUGGCAGCAGUCGAGAAUUUUUCACAAUGGGGGAAACCCUGAUGGAGCGACGCCGCGUGGGGGAUGAAGGGCUUCGGUUCGUAAACCCCUGUCAUUGGCGAACAAGUGUUGCAUUCUAAUACAGUGUAACUUGAUAGUAGCCGAAGAGGAAGGGACGGCUAACUCUGUGCCAGCAGCCGCGGUAAUACAGAGGUCCCGAGCGUUGUUCGGAUUCACUGGGCGUAAAGGGUGCGUAGGUGGUUGGUUAAGUUUGAGGUGAAAGCUCCGAGCUCAACUCGGAAAAUGCCUUGAAGACUAUCUGACUAGAGGAUUGGAGGGGAGAUUGGAAUUCUCGGUGUAGCAGUGAAAUGCGUAGAUAUCGAGAGGAACACCAGUGGCGAAGGCGAAUCUCUGGACAAUUCCUGACACUGAGGCACGAAGGCCAAGGGAGCAAACGGGAUUAGAUACCCCGGUAGUCUUGGCUGUAAACGGUGCGCACUUGCUGUGAGCGGAUUCGACCCCGCUCGUGGCGUAGUUAACACGAUAAGUGCGCCGCCUGGGAAGUACGGUCGCAAGAUUA
This 894-nucleotide ribosomal RNA is filed under the name uncultured bacterium. RNAcentral's name for it is "bacterial SSU rRNA". It matches the Rfam family "Bacterial small subunit ribosomal RNA", at positions 28 to 896 of the family's 1533-position model. The record is from RNAcentral.